CAGUAGCCGCGGUAAUACGAAGGGUGCAAGCGUUAAUCGGAAUUACUGGGCGUAAAACGUGCGCAGGCGGUUUGUUAAGACAGAUGUGAAAUCCCCGGGCUCAACCUGGGAACCGCAUUUGUGACUGGCAAGCUAGAGUGUGGCAGAGGGGGGUGGAAUUCCGCGUGUAGCAGUGAAAUGCGUAGAUAUGCGGAGGAACAUCAGUGGCGAAGGCGGCCAUCUGGGACAACACUGACGCUGAGGCACGAAAGCGUGGGGAGCAAACAGGAUUAGAGACCCCAGUAGUCCCUGUCUCUUAUAC
This 301-nucleotide ribosomal RNA is filed under the name uncultured bacterium. Its description in RNAcentral is "partial 16S ribosomal RNA". It matches the Rfam family "Bacterial small subunit ribosomal RNA", at positions 509 to 807 of the family's 1533-position model. The record is from RNAcentral.